UACCAACAUGUGAGAAACACUGUACUUUAUUAAUGUUUCAAUGGAACCCACCAAAAUAAUUUAUUGAUUUAAUUUAAAAAAAUCUAUGUCCUCCAAAUAAAGGUUUCACAGUUAAUGGCACCUUUACAGAUUAUUGUAAGUAACAUCUACCAAAAUUAAACCAGGAAUUAAAUUCCACUUAUUGUAUUUAAGUAUAUCUAAGUCUUAAGGAACUAUAUUGAGUCAUUACAUCACUUCCUGUUUCACUAGGGUAUAAAAAGGAGGUAACAGGCAUGCAAUAUCCCUUUGACAUCCAACGCCAUGAAUAAAACAAAAGAACUGGCAGUUCAAAAGAGACAGAUGGUCGUAGACCUUCAUAAAUCUUGUAUGGCUACAAGAAGAUCCACAAACAAUUGAAUAUACCACUGAGCACUGUCAGGGCAAUUAUAAACCAAAUUCAAAAGAUAUGGAACAGUUGAAAACCUCACAUGUAGAGAACGCAAAUGCAUUUUGCCACCCACGAUAGGGAGGAGGAUGGUGAGAGAAGCAACAAAACCCCCAACAAUCACUGAAAGAAUUGCAGCCCUUUAUGACCCCAAGACACAGACGCAAGCAGUUGGAGUUUGCCAAACACCAUUUAAAUUAUGACUGGAAGAAGGUGUUCUGGUCAGAUGAGACCAAAAUUGAACGUUUUGGUCAGAUACAGCAUCGGCAUGUUUGGCGUCGAAACAGAGAUGCAUACAAGGAGAGGCCUCAUACCCACGGUGAAAUAUGGUGGUGGGUCAGUGAUGUUUUGGGGCUUUUUUAAUUCCAGAGGUCCAGGGGCACUUAUUAAGAUUGAUGGCAUAAUGAAUUCCACCAAGUAUCAGGCAAUUUUGGCUGAUAUGGUUCAGUGACAACAAAAUCAAUGUUUUGCCAUGGACAUCUCAGUCGCCGGACCUCAAUCCAUUUGAAAACUUCUGGCCUGAGUUGAAGAUGGCAGUUGAUAAGUGCAAACCCAAGAAUGUGUAACGGCUGUCUGAAGAGAGAGUAGACCAAGGUGCAGCGGAGUUAGUGUUCAUCUUGAAUUUUAAUAACCGUAAGAACACUAUACAACAAAAACAAGAAAACCGACAGCCAAACAGUACUGUCAGGUGCAAGACACUAAACAGAAACAAUCCCCCACAAAACCCAAAGGAAAAACAGGCUCCUUAUGUGUGACUCCCAAUCAGCAACAACGAACUACAGCUGUGCCUGAUUGGGAGCCACACACGGCCCAAAACAAAGAAAUAGAAAAACAUAGAAAAAUGAACAUAGAACGCCCACCCAAUGUAACACCCUGGCCUAACCAAAAAUAAAGAACAAAAACCCCUCUCUAUGGCCAGGGCAUUACAGAAUGUGAUGGAUCUUGAAAGGAUCUGCAUAGAGGAACGGUCCAAAAUCUCUCCAAAUGUGUUCCAUAACCUUGUCAAACAUUACAGGAAAAGACUCCAUGCUGUUAUCCUUGCCAGAGGUGGUUGCACUAAGUACGGAAUGAGGAGUGCCAAUAAUUAUGAAACCUUGAUUUUGGUGACAAUUAUUUUGUAUUAAAUAAUUGUAUGAUUUUGGUUGGUUCCAUUGAAACAUUAAUAAAGUUCAGUAUUUCUCACAUGUUGAUAUUUUGAGUUUCUCUAUAAUCAUAUUGUUUUAAUUUUUUUAAGUAUUGUUUGUGCAUUGCCAGGCAGGGGUGCCAGUAAUUUUGGAGCCCACUGUAGCUGCAACCACAUCGUUGUUUGUGUGGUUUAGGCUCGGACCACCGUUAUUUGUGUGGUUUAGGCCCGGACUCAGCAAAGCAUGCUGAGCAUCUGGUAAAUGCCUCUUAGGUCGCAAGAUGGGGCUUGGGCUGGUGUAUUAGUGGGGGUUGGGCCUAUUGCUCUGCUCACGGUUUGGGAAUACUGUAUUUGUGGCUGUCAUGUUGAGGACCUUGCAUACAUGAAGGGAAUGGUUAGUGAGAAAGUCCAUAUUGCAAAUGUACGCUCCCUUACUAGACGUCCGACUACGUCCGAUAAAUCCGCGGACGGCGUCGGGCCGCUCACAGGGUCCGGAUCUUCCAGGAAGUCAUCGAACGGAGUCUCUCGCACCUUCUGUUUCCGUUUAAUAACAUUUUCAAAUUUUGGUCAUUUCUUUGCAGUUCCGGAUUAUUCCACGGGAGGGCGAAUGGAAUCAUAUUGCAAACGUAACAUAUAUCACCAAUCACGACACGGCUUUUUCUCCUAAACGGAAAAGAAUUCGAAGACGAAACUAGGUCUGCGUGGGUUUGGC
Molecule: long non-coding RNA, 2259 nt
Filed under: Salmo salar (Atlantic salmon)
Lineage: Eukaryota; Metazoa; Chordata; Actinopteri; Salmoniformes; Salmonidae
Description: lncRNA (ENSSSAG00000103578.1)
Source: RNAcentral